GCAACCUGAAGAAUCAUGCCUAAUUUUAUCAAAUAUAUAAAGGAAAGUUCUUCACUUCCAUCAUGUUCCAGUACUUGUAUCACCCUACAACAGUAAUGGCCGACUUCCUCUGCCUGAGGGGAGCUGGAUCCCCACCUGCUCUGGAGCAUCUGAUACUGUAACUACAAUGUCUGUCAGCCCCAUGGAAUAUGAUCUUUAAAAGAGCCUAUAGAUCAAAAUCUCCAAAGUUUACUUGCAGUCUUGUCCAGAGAGCUCACAUGAUCAGACCUGCCGCAGAACUGCAUCAUGUGCCUUCAGACCAUGAGCAUCACCAGCUUGUAUUGGAAGAAAUCCAGAAAAAGCUCAGACUAGCUCAGCAAGCAGUACAAAACUUUCAGGUUACUAGUCUCCUUCCCACAGGGCUUGGAAUUCCCAGAUGAUUCAAGGGAAUCUUCCAUGAAAAGAAAAAAACAAAUGUUCCAGUGUCACCAGACAAUCAGGAGAAAGGCUCUUGGGAUAUAAGCAACACAUACCAACUCAGUAUGAAAUAAAAUUCUAUGUAUCUCAUCUCACUAAGAACUCCAUCUAGUGUCUAUCUUCCAUUUCCAGCCAUUUCAAAUGCAUUAUAAGAGAGAAGAUUUCAUUCCUGAAACCUGACUUCUGAAAGCAAUGAAUAAGUGACUGGCUAAAAGAAAAGUUGUGCCGUCGAGUUGGUGUCGACUCCUGGCAACCACAGAGCCAUUAGGUGGCAAGUGACUGACUACCCAUGCUUUAUUUUUCUAUAAAGGUCACUGCAGUGCUUGAAUUACAGAAAGAUCAUGCCCUUUGGCUUUUACGCCAACCCUUUAGAUACUAUUUUUAGAAGACGAGAAGGGGCGCAUAAUUUGACUUCCCCAAAAUGUAGAAAGGAUUUGGGGCUUGCGGAUUUCUUGGAGAAUCCUUCUAUUUUGCCCCCCAUAAUUUGACAACAGUCCUCUUUUCACUUUCAACCUCAUUUCAUUCCUUCAUUCAGCUAGCCAGACCUUUGCUCUUUGUAUUCAUGAAGCUUAAAAACUCAACAACAGAAAUCUGUUCAGUGUUUCACUGCUUACUGUGCAAAGUGGCAUCUUUUGGUGAUUCUUUUCAUUUAGCAGGGGGAGAAUAACUGGCCUAUCCACCCCGAGCACAGUACCUCCAGUGAUUGUUGCUGGUGUCUAUCUUAUGUUUCUUUUUAGAUUGUGAGCCCUUUGGGGACAGGAAUCCAUCUUAUUUAUUUAUUCAUUCAUUUAUUGAUUUAUUAUUUCUCUAUGUAAACCGCUUUGGAAACUUUUGUUGAAAAGCAGUAUAAGUAUUUGUUGUUGUUUGUUUGGUCUCCAUCCCACAAUGCAAAGACCCCUAUUUAUUAGAAAAGUAGUAUUGAAAAGUGGUGGGUUAAUCACAGAAAGCAAGAAUUCACUAACAGGUGGAACUCUGGAAAUUAUGAAAGAUCUCUGCUGACCAUCUAACCUGUAAGUGAGAUCCUGCUGGAAAAGACAAUGGAAGUCUGCAAGAGUGUGUGGAUACGGAAUAAGCCCUUGCCUAGAACUUACUUGCAAGCUUGUUUCAAAGCACUGUGUUUUGGUGCAUGGAAGAGCCUUUGUGACAGAAACCAUUUAGGAGAAACUGGGCAGUAAAAGGAUAUCACACUAGAAGGAAACAUCAGAAGAAACAGCAUCUACCAAGACCCUGAUAUUCAGUCCUUGUCCUUACAUGAUACAGGUGUAGAAAGAGCCACCAGAAACUGUCCAGCAAAAUAGCUUGGAUGCAUGGAGCAUUGAGAAAUUGGCGCAGCAUCUUUAUAGACCAGUUUGUCUGUAAAGAAAUAAAAGUGACAUUGUGAUUUGAAUGUUAAAAAUAAAAAAAUGGAAAUGCUUUU
Hemicordylus capensis (graceful crag lizard) is the source of this 1873-nucleotide long non-coding RNA. RefSeq lists it as uncharacterized. Lineage: Eukaryota; Metazoa; Chordata; Lepidosauria; Squamata; Cordylidae. The record is from RefSeq and is a predicted model, not a curated record. The transcript is spliced from 3 exons.